Molecule: ribosomal RNA, 462 nt
Filed under: uncultured soil bacterium
Lineage: Bacteria
Description: bacterial SSU rRNA
Rfam family: Bacterial small subunit ribosomal RNA
Source: RNAcentral
AGUCGGACGGGAUUGAGGAGCUUGCUCUUCAUGAGAGUGGCGCACGGGUGCGUAACACGUAUGUAACCUACCUUUAUCAGGGGGAUAGCCUCUCGAAAGAGAGAUUAAGCCCGCAUAAUAUGAAGACACAGCAUUGUGAUUUCAUCAAAUAUUUAUAGGAUGGAGAUGGGCAUGCGGAACAUUAGCUAGUUGGUAAGGUAAUGGCUUACCAAGGCUACGAUGUUUAGGGGAUCUGAGAGGAUGACCCCCCACACUGGUACUGAGACACGGACCAGACUCCUACGGGAGGCAGCAGUAAGGAAUAUUGGUCAAUGGGCGGAAGCCUGAACCAGCCAUGCCGCGUGCAGGAAGACGGCCCUACGGGUUGUAAACUGCUUUUGUACCGGAAUAAACCCCCGUUCGUGAACGGGGCUGAAUGUACGGUAAGAAUAAGGAUCGGCUAACUCCGUGCCAGCAGCCGCG